GAUGAACGCUGGCGGCGUGCCUAACACAUGCAAGUCGAGCGAAGCACUUUGCUUAGAUUCUUCGGAUGAAGAGGAUUGUGACUGAGCGGCGGACGGGUGAGUAACGCGUGGGUAACCUGCCUCAUACAGGGGGAUAACAGUUAGACAUGACUGCUAAUACCGCAUAAGACCACAGCACCGCAUGGUGCGGGGGUAAAAACUCCGGUGGUAUGAGAUGGACCCGCGUCUGAUUAGCUAGUUGGUAAGGUAACGGCUUACCAAGGCGACGAUCAGUAGCCGACCUGAGAGGGUGACCGGCCACAUUGGGACUGAGACACGGCCCAAACUCCUACGGGAGGCAGCAGUGGGGAAUAUUGCACAAUGGGGGAAACCCUGAUGCAGCGACGCCGCGUGAGCGAAGAAGUAUUUCGGUAUGUAAAGCUCUAUCAGCAGGGAAGAAAAUGACGGUACCUGACUAAGAAGCACCGGCUAAAUACGUGCCAGCAGCCGCGGUAAUACGUAUGGUGCAAGCGUUAUCCGGAUUUACUGGGUGUAAAGGGAGCGUAGACGGAUGGGCAAGUCUGAUGUGAAAACCCGGGGCUCAACCCCGGGACUGCAUUGGAAACUGUUCAUCUAGAGUGCUGGAGAGGUAAGUGGAAUUCCUAGUGUAGCGGUGAAAUGCGUAGAUAUUAGGAGGAACACCAGUGGCGAAGGCGGCUUACUGGACAGUAACUGACGUUGAGGCUCGAAAGCGUGGGGAGCAAACAGAUUGAUACCCUGGUAGUCCAAGGGCGAAUCCACAUGGAUAUCAGCUUAUCGAUACCGUCGACCUCGAGGGGGGGCCCGGUACCAGCUUUGUCGCUUUGUGAGGGCGAGUGCGCGGGGGGCCUCUCAUGUCAAGCUAUUUGCAGGGGGAUCUCUUUUUCGGGGGGGAGGCGAAAGGCCCGCCCCUGAAUUUAGUGUGAAGAUAUAAAAAGAGAUCUGCCAAUGUCUUUUAUUACA
Molecule: ribosomal RNA, 981 nt
Filed under: uncultured Ruminococcus sp.
Lineage: Bacteria; Bacillati; Bacillota; Clostridia; Eubacteriales; Oscillospiraceae
Description: bacterial SSU rRNA
Rfam family: Bacterial small subunit ribosomal RNA (bases 1-803)
Source: RNAcentral